AAAGGGCUUCUGGUGAGGGUGG
RNAcentral lists this microRNA (22 nucleotides) under Monodelphis domestica (gray short-tailed opossum). RNAcentral's name for it is "mdo-miR-1643a-3p". Lineage: Eukaryota; Metazoa; Chordata; Mammalia; Didelphimorphia; Didelphidae. The record is from miRBase by way of RNAcentral.